RNAcentral lists this ribosomal RNA (497 nucleotides) under uncultured bacterium. RNAcentral describes it as "partial 16S ribosomal RNA". It matches the Rfam family "Bacterial small subunit ribosomal RNA", at positions 28 to 507 of the family's 1533-position model. The record is from RNAcentral.
GAUGAACGCUGGCGGCGUGCCUAAUACAUGCCAGUCGAGCGAACAGACGAGGAGCUUGCUCCUCUGACGUUAGCGGCGGACGGGUGAGUAACACGUGGAUAACCUACCUAUAAGACUGGGAUAACUUCGGGAAACCGGGGCUAAUACCGGAUAAUAUAUUGAACCGCAUGGUUCAAUAGUGAAAGACGGUUUUGCUGUCACUUAUAGCUGGAUCCGCGCCGCAUUAGCUAGUUGGUAAGGUAACGGCUUACCAAGGCAACGAUGCGUAGCCGACCUGAGAGGGUGAUCGGCCACACUGGAACUGAGACACGGUCCAGACUCCUACGGGAGGCAGCAGUAGGGAAUCUUCCGCAAUGGGCGAAAGCCUGACGGAGCAACGCCGCGUGAGUGAUGAAGGUCUUCGGAUCGUAAAACUCUGUUAUUAGGGAAGAACAAAUGUGUAAGUAACUAUGCACGUCUUGACGGUACCUAAUCAGAAAGCCACGGCUAACUACGUG